This 230-nucleotide long non-coding RNA is filed under the name Elaeis guineensis (African oil palm). RNAcentral describes it as "long non-coding RNA (EGUI_LNC049369)". Lineage: Eukaryota; Viridiplantae; Streptophyta; Magnoliopsida; Arecales; Arecaceae. The record is from RNAcentral.
AGGUGGUAUUGCCGUCUAUCAACAGGGUCCAGAAUCCAUCGACCAUCUCUUCUCUAGCUAUGGCCUCUUUUGUAGCAUUUAGAAAUUAUUUUGCUCUGUUCUCUAUGUCCUUUACCUAUAAUCUUCCUUCAAAUUCCUUUGCUUGGAUUGCAUAGAUAGAAACUUCUUAAAGAAAAUUCAACCCAUUGUCUUGAUGCUGCUAGUGGGUGUGGUGACGUUAGAAGGAACAC